Molecule: long non-coding RNA, 11494 nt
Filed under: Cricetulus griseus (Chinese hamster)
Lineage: Eukaryota; Metazoa; Chordata; Mammalia; Rodentia; Cricetidae
Description: lncRNA (ENSCGRG00015033808.1)
Source: RNAcentral
CCUUCACCAGCCUGCCUGUGUGAGACUGUUGGUCUGUGUGCCCAGCUCCCUGUGGCCUGUGUGUAUGUGCCAAAGCUAGCCAGUGUGUGGCUAUGUGAGGCAGGCCACCUGCCUCACCCAUGGACAAGGCCCCAGGUUCAAUCCCCCAGAGGAAACCACCAUCAAACAGAGGAAAAACCAAUCCUGUCUCUUCUGAGUCAUUCUCUUUCCUUCUAAGGGCACUGCCUGGGUCUUUUCUUGGGCUGGAAAAAUGCUCUGCUGAGAUGCAUAGAAACAAAAGAGCAGUUAGGUUCCUUAGAUUGGGUUCCAAAGGCCCACCGCUGCUACAGUACUCAGUUUUCCAGGCCCAGAGACAACUCUUAAGAAACAAAACCUGAAGAAGCCUGCUUAUACAGAAUUGGCAAGACCCGGACAAAGGAUGAAAAGGUGGUCACAGUGUUAAACAUUACAUGACGUUCAUUAGCAUGGUGAAAACAAACAACAAAUCAAAAAGGAGUCCAAGGGCCUGGCAGAAGAAUCAUAUCAGGUAUGUUAUGCCCCAACAUUGUGCUGAUGACUUUGCCAACAUCUCAAGAUGCAUUGUGGCUUGCAAAUGCCAUCCAGUCUCUGCCUCCAUCUUGAUAUCAUGUUUCGGGUGUGUGUGUGGGGGGGAUUCUUUUUUUUUGUUGUUUUUUGUUUGUUUGUUUGUUUUGUUUUUCGAGACAGGGUUUCUCUGUGCAGUUUGGAGCCUAUCCUGGCACUGGCUCUGGAGACCAGGCUGGCCUCAAACUCACAGAGAUCCGCCUGCCUCUGCCUCCCGAGUGCUGGGAUUAAAGGCGUGCGCCACCAACGCCCCACUGUGUGGGGGAUUCUUACCCCUCCCAAAAACUGACUUAAAUGAGGUUUAGAGUCUCCAGUUCAUCAAGUUCUUAUCAUUCAGUAGUAGAAGAACAGACUGUGGCCUUCACCCAGGUCCUCACUCUUGCAGGGCUGCAUCUCCUAGUUGAUUCACAACUUCAGUGCCCUUCAUGAACAAUGUAAUUGUUCUUGCUAAUUGCUGUGGAAUAAUCAUUUUGUACAUUGCAAAGAUUUGUCUCUCGAAUUGGUUUAAUAAAAAGCUGACUGGCUGGUACCCAGGCAGGAAGUGUAGGUGGGAAACCAAACUAAGAAUGCUGGGAUGAAGAAGGGCAGAGAUGCCAGCAGAUGCAAAGGAAACAGGGCGUGUAGAAAAGUCAUGAGCCACAAGGCAGAGGCUCAUGAUAAGAUAAGAAAUCCGGGUUAAUUUCAAGUGUAAGAGUUCGGUAGAUGGAAAUAGAAGCAGACAUCCACAGUCAAACACUGAGCAGAACUCUGGAAUCCAGCUGCAGACAGGGAGGAGUGAUGAGCAAAGGGGUCAAGACCAGGCUGGAGGAACCCACAGAAACAGCUGACCUGAAUAAGGGGGAGCUCAUGAGCCCCAGACUGACAUCUGGGAAACCAGCAUAGGACCGACCCAGACUCCCUGAACGUGGGUGUCAGUUAGGAGGUCUGGGCAAUCUAUGGGGCCUCUGGCAGUGGAUCAGUAUUUAUCGUUAGUGCACAAUUGGACUUUGGGAGCCUAUUCCACAUAGAGGGAUACUCUCCCAGUCUAGACACAUGGGGGAGGCCCUAGGCCCUGCUCCAAAUGAUGUGACAGACUUUGAAGAUCACCCAUGGAAGGCCUCACCCUCCCUGGGAUGCAGAAAGGGUUGGUGGGAGGCGGGGAAGGAGGAGAGGGUGAGGGAACUGGGAUUGACACAUAAAACAAGAUUGUUUCUAAUUUAAAUUUAAAAAAAGCCAGAAAAAAAAGUUAGGUAAUAAAAAGCCUGAGCUAUUAGCUAAGCAUUUAUAAUUAAUAUUAAGACUCUGAGUGGUUAUUGGAGAGCGACUGCCAGGACAGGAAAACUCCACCUACAGCAGAUGCCAAUGAGAAGCUAUGGCCCUAAGGACAGUAGCCUGUCUACAUCCCCAGUGGGCCUACUCAUAUCCCCGAGGGGCACAGUGGCUCACAGCUUGCUAAAUCGGCUUUACAGAUACAUCUUGACUAUAAACUAAACAGAGACCCCCCUACCCAGCCUUCUCCUUUAAGACUCAUGUACACAAAGAUCUUUUUCAAGGUAUUGACCCCCCCAGUUUUAAUCUUCCAUGUGUCCAAACCCAGCACCUCUCCCACAGCUCCACAGCAAUCUGUCAAGAGAACUCUUUCCUGGUCUGACAGUUGACUCCGGCAUCUCUGGCAAGGAAUCACUGUUUGAGACCAUCAAGAGGAGUCUCCCUCCACCUGGUGAGACCCAUCUAGUUCAUUUUCACUUUUGGACAUAAGGUCAAUUUCUUCAGGGCUCCCAUUUGGCUCAGAGCGAGCCAUCUAUCUCCUGAUUUUAUGGCUGCAGAAGUCACUCCAUCAGACCAUCAUUGGCUUUUUCUGAGCAGGGCGAUCCAUCUGUGUAAUUAAUCUAUACCCCUCUCCUGCCCAGACCCAGCUAGCACAGCCCUGCCUGCUGCUAAUCAUUGUAGUUUGAAAGAUGGCAACAAAGGCCUUCCAUUCUGAUUUUCAACCCCAAGGCAUGUACCCACGGAGCUCCUGUUGUUCUUGGCCUUCCUGCAAGUGUGCUGUUAAUUAAACUCUGCAAAUUGUUAUUUCCAGACAAAGGGUGCCAAGGGCAGGGCAGGCACGAUUUGCCUAUCAUCCAUCAGCUUUUGAUAUGCAGGCAUACUUUCUGGGACAGUGAGUCAUGGGUCCCUGGCCCUGGCAGGGAGCUUGCUGAAGAUCCCUCCAUAGCAUCUGGGGAGAGGGGUGGAGCCUGAUGUCUGGGAAGAUGAAUUGCAAACUGGACUGCUGGGGUAUGAAUUCCAUGUCUACCCUGAGAGAGUUCCUGCAAUGGUGGAAGAGCCUCCUCACUGCCCAGGGCCUCACUCUCCCCAUCUAGAGAAUGGUGAUAACGACUCUGAAAUUAGAUGUUAAGGUUUACUCAAAAUCUAGCUUUGCCAAAGGUCCGGCUCUUAGGAACUCCUCUCAGACUGUCUCAUCCAUGCUAUGAAAAUCCCUAUAUUGAUUUGUGCUUCUGGUUUCUGUGUAGCUGCCCGGGAUACAUUGCCCUCUUUCCUUCACUCCAGCAGUGUGCAUUUGCUUUCUGGAAUGUUUAUUGAUCUGUUCGUCCCUGUUAUCUAUCAGAGAGUGCUCAGCAUCACUUCUCAGGGUGUUCACAGCUCUUCUGAGAAGGGGAUGCAAUGUGAGAACAAUGAAGACCCUUCUUGUCACAUCACCUUACACUUUCCAAUUCUUGGGAAAUAAGGCAUGUUAUUUUGCCUUAAGGCUGUACCUGGUGCUGGUUUUACAUGGUUACAGCUGGGAAGUGUUGGUGAUGGGGCUCGGGAGGUGGCAGCAGGUGCCUCCUUCAACGCAUGGAUCUGUUGAUAUGAAAAUCUCCCUUCUGACACUGCCACCACCUCAACAUCAUGUCUGUCAGUUUUUCAAAGGCCUCUGCUGAUGGUGUCUAGACUCUUCUCGGCCAAUAAGAAUUCAAAAGUGGUCUGAAAUAACUUGAGCAAAUAUUGCAAGAUGUUCUGCAUUUAUGGAGAUCUAGCAAACAGUAAAUAUCAUUAAAAUUAACUGCGCCAAACAAACAGACUCUCGCUAUUUAAAUUGAAUUGUCAGCUUUGCAUAAUAAAAGGUUAAAAUUAUGCGUUGCACCAAGAAUAAAUUCGCCCUGAUUAUUUGGUUCACAAGUUAAAAGGCUUGGAGGCCCCCACUUUCUAAUAUGCUUUCUACUAUUAUAUCUAAGCCAUGGUUUUAAAAUGUUUUUAAAUCCAGAGCCUCAAUCACGCAACCAUCCUGGUGUAUGCCCACAUUUCUUUAAAGCAAGAAACAGAAAUUUGUCAUCUCUCGUGACCUCUGCAUCACCGAAGCAUGCAAUAUGUUUGCCAUAGCUUGGUUUCCUGGUGGCAAUAGCUGAUCCAUGUUAGGAUUGUCAAAGCUUCUAUCUCUAGCAUUCAUGUGUACCACUAUAUGCCUACAGUUUCCCUCUCUUCAUUUUGGAUGGUUCUCCUAGACAGAACAGCGAAAGUUGCUCUGCUUCUCUUUUCCCCUCCAACAGACCUCUGAGGAAUGGUAGCUGGAAAAAGCAAAGGAGGACAGGCUGUGUGUCACUCGUCUUUGUUGGGUCUACACAGAGUGCGCCCAGCUUCUCAGACCUCCUGUCUCAACAGGUCUCUAUUUCUUCCUGCUUCUCUCUCUUUCUUUCCUCCCCAUCCCCCACUUGCUAGCGCCUUUCCCAGUCCGUGUUCCCAACAUUCCAGAGGCUAAGGCAGGAAAACCCUGAGUUCUAGGCCACUGUAGGCUUUAUAGCACAUUGGAAAGUCAGAAGAAAGAGGCCCAGGAGUUCGGGGACAACUAGGUUGAACUGUGUUAAGGAAUACUGGGUUAUUGUGUUUUAGCUAGGCGUGGCAGCACCUCCAAGUCAUCUUGGUUUACGGAAGCUCAAGGCAAAAGGUUCAUGAAUUCAAGACUAGUGUGGGUUACAUGGUGAGACUCUCAAUGCAACAGCACCAGAGAUCUGCAGCCCAUCUAGAGAGGUUACAGGCUCUAUUUCCUCAUUAGUGGAGAUCUGCUCUGUGAAAUGAGUUGGACCCAAUACAGUCCAAGCAAAAAGCAAUUAUUAUUAUUUUUUUCUGUGCUAAGUCCAAUGCUGCCUCUUGGCUCCUGGAUGAAUUCCCAGGCAGGCCCUACAAAAUUAACAAAUAGCCUCAUUUAUCACAUAAUAAAAAUGUCCAGUUCGAUCCCAAACUCAGAUUCAUCAUACAAUUUAAACCCCGUCUGUCCUAAAGCAUUGGGCCCAAUCCAAGCCAUGGAGCCAGUGAUGGGGUAGGCAUAGUUGGCAUCACCCCAACUUCACUGCACCCCUACCCCAUUCUGGAACUGGAAAAGGGUGAGGAUAAAAAAGGGAACACAAAAGAAGGUACAUACUAGAAUGUCCUGUCGGUUGGUGAGGGUCUGAUUCUUGCUUGUGCACAAUACUUUUGUGGACUCCAGGGGUGCCCUAUGCCAGGUGCCUUCAUCUUUGCUGUGCUCCUGACAAUCACACUCUUUCCUGGGGCUUUGCAAAUAGAAGGCAGGUGCCAGUCCACACCCCCCCCAACACACACAUAAAGCUCUCUGAGUGGUCUCUGAAGCCUUCUGCCCUUGCUUGAAAUGAGCAGAAACCAAACUUUCCAUCCCCUUCCUCUAUGGGAGAGUAGUGAGAACUCGAAGUGGCAACACCCUGCUUUUGUCAGCUUCUUUAACUAACCCUCGUCAAGCUGCUUCCCCUGGUAAUAAAUUUGCAUGCUCCUCUGUUCCUCUCUUGAGAUGGGUGGCAGAAAAGGGCCUGGCCACCUGCAGCCAGCCCUACAAGGUGCUGUGUCACUUCCUUUUGAGUGUUUCCCAGCUUUUCAUCUAAAACCUCAUCUAAACUUUGCAGGGAGAAUGGUGAUUGUACUAUACCUUCACUCUUAUUACUUAGGGAGCUGCCAGGGAAGUCACACAAUGUCGGAGCGUCCUUUUUAGUUGGAGAGCAACUCUAAAUAUGUUAUGAUUUUUACUCACAAGUGUGUUCCUCAGGAGAGAAAUGCUGGUGGAGUGAGGGUGAGUGCUCUGGAUUUACGUGAGAACUCAGGGGAAGCCCGGGGGGCAUGUUCAGAUGUCAUCCCUGGGCUUUAGGAAAGAUGGUUUCUUAAAGGUCUAGGCAAGUUCUCUCUUCUCUUAAUGUUCAGAGACCAGCUCUGCAGUCCCUUAAAAUGCCCCAGAUUCAUAUGUUCUCACCCCCUUGGUGCUAGUGACUUGAACACCCCUUUCUUUCAUUCAUUAUGGCUUCUGCAUCAAGAACAUUCUGGCAUUGAUAUGAGGUAAGGAAUAUCUUGGAGUGAGGAGAACAGUCUUCCUACCAUCAGCUCAUGACCAAGGGUGAGUCCGACUGCUCCCCCAGCCUCCAUCACUGCUUCCUCCUCUACUGGCAGAAGGGCUGGACCUGCAGUUGAAGUGUCUCACAUACAGAGAAGCAGGCAGAAUAAAUGGCUCUUCUGUGUUCUGGGCUUUUCAGGGCUCUAGUUUGGGGUACUGGGGUGGGACUGAGAGCCUCCUGAGGAUGUUAACUGUACUUUGGGUUUGUAGAUGUGUUGCUGGAACCAUCAGCUGCCUCAAAUAAACUCCUGUCUUUUUGUUGUUUUGCAGCAGUGCCACCUAUAGCCUGGAACUCAUUAUGUAGCUGAGGAUGGCCUUGAACUUCUGAACUUCCUGCCUUUACCCCCAGAGUACUAGAAUUACAGGUUUGAGCCUGGAUUAUGCUGUGCUGGGGUCAAGCCCAGGACUUAACUCCAUGCUAGGCAAGUACUUGACCACUGGAACUAUAUUCCCAGCCCCAAGUCCUGCUUUUAUACAAACUUUGACUCCUGGAGGUGGUCUGUGUGCUCAGCAUUGUAUAAACGAAAGGGUCUAAUUAAUACCUAAGAUUUAAUUAUUAUAAAAAUCACUUUGAAAACUAUGUUCCUUUUCUGAGAAGUUUUGUUUGCAAGAGACGAAGGGAAGGAAAACAAUGUGUGUGUAUAGGUUGAGCACUGAGCCAGAUAGCUAAGGCUAAACAGUGAAAAGAGUAUCUGUGUUAACAACCAAACGAUUUUUGUCUGUUUUGUUUAGCAAUACUUUUUGAAAAAGCUAGUAUUUUGAGACUAUCUUAAAAUGUGUUUUGUUCAUGAUCAUCCUCCCCAACUUCUCCAACAUCAAUUCUCACUUCUCUAUCUUUUUUUAAGCCAUCAAGUCCAAUUUGUGCUGCCCAAAUAUUCUUGGAUGUGUGGUCUUCCACUGGAGUGUGGUUGACUUACCAGGGGCAACAUUCUUAAAGACAGCUGGCUCUCCCUCUCCCUGCAGCUAUCAACAGCCAAUAUGCUCCUUAGCUGGGGGUAAGGAGGAUUUUUAAAUCUAUAAUUUUUAGAGUCAUUUAGUUUCCUAAUGAAAUCAAGCAGAAGGUACUGGGGUUUCCUCUACACCCUCUGUCCCUCCAACCCUACAACUUAGCACUUCAUCGGCAUCCCCAUCUAAGUGGCUCACUGACACAUCCUAUUAUCUAAGGUCCAUAGUUUACAUGAGUGUUCACUCCCAGUGUCCCUCAGAAUCACAGUGAUGUGUGUCAUAUUGGGGUUCUCCAAAAGAACAGAAUGGACAAGAUGAAUAGACCCAUGAAAUAGGGUUUAUUAGAAGAAUGGUUCAUAGGUUGUGGGUCUGGGUAGUCCAGCAAUGGCUGCCUCAUAAUAGAAGGGCGAUAAAUAAGGUUGCAGCUCAAUCCUUGAGGCUACAUUGCCUGAGCAAUCUUACUCUGGGGCUGGAGUCCUAGAGGACUCCUGGAAGGCUGCAGAUGGUCUUCCAUGAAUGCUGGAACCCUGAAGAAACUGGAUUUUACAUGGCGGUGGCAGCAGGAGAGACAAGCUUGCCAAUGAGAGUGAUGGCAAGCAAGCAAAAUGCAAAGUUCCUUCUUCUGUGUCCUUUUAUGUGAACUGCCACAAGAAGGUGUGGCCUGGAUUUAGGGGGUGUCUUUCUGCUUCAAAGAAUCUGAUCUAGAAAAUUCCCCCAAAGGAGUGUCCAGCAGCGUAGGUUUCAGUUGGUUCCAAAUAUAGUCAGGUUGACGGCCAAGGUUAACUAUCACACAUGUCUUCACCAUAAUGAUGGGGGAUCUUUUAAAGAAUUGCUCAGAUCCCCAGACUGAUCUACCACAGGGAGAACUCAUGGAUCCCAGGACAGUAACUCUGGAUGGAGGGUACCAGGCCAAGAUUUCUAUCCAGCUAGUGUCUGUCUGCCAAGUUCUUGUCCUAGUCCUGGGAAGUCCAGAAUAAAGGUGGCUUUGACUCUAGCAGGUUGCCUGUUGUCCUUGGGGACUUUAAGGUCAUUGCAGAUUUCAGACAGGAGUUCAGCUCUUGUAUCUUUGUUUGGAAAAUAUAAGCCAACAAGGGAAAAAUGAAAGAGGAAAGCCAGAUCAUCUAACUCCAGUGUCAUUCUGCCCUUCCCAUGCCUCAGUUCUCUUGUCUGUCAAACGGCCCUCAGAAUUAAGAACAUCACUUGUGUCUUUCCCAACAUGACAUAACCCAUGUUUCCUCUCAGCACGUGUUUGAGUUGAGGCUAAGGCUACUGACAGUUUGGAAAUGGGCUGUCCAUGACAUUUGACAUGUUGAUUGUCCCCCUCUUUCUCAAGCAUUUCUUUGAGGUCCUCUUCAGUUUCGGCUGCAGUUAUUGAAUAGCACAAUUCAGUAGUCUGGAAAUUUCUGAAGAGCAGAGAUUUAUUUAGGUUGUGGUUCUGGGGACUGAAAGGGCCAGGAGCAUGGCACCAAAGCCCACCUAGCACACGGGGGAGAAACUUACAUUUUAAUAUGCUAGAGGACAUUCUGAGACAGCCAGGCACUUUUUAGGGUCCCACUUCUAAUAAUAGACCCAGCAAUGCAGCUGUGAGACCUCUCUCUCAUGGCUUCAUCUAAUACUGGUCACCUCCCAAGAGCCCCACCUUCAAAUACCAUUAAUUCAUAUGGAUUUGGGGUUAAGUUUUCAACACAGGAGGACACAGUGAGGACACAGCACUGGGCUUCCAGAACAGGUUUAUAGUGUUUUUUUUUUUUUCUUCCAUCUUUGGCUCCAUUCUUGUUGUCUCCUUGUUUUAUAAACAGUAACACAGCUCGGAGUUCAGUGCUGGCAAGUCUUCAACCACACUCCAAACUGUUGGUCCUGAGACAUUAGAUGUUAUACACACCUCUGUAUAGUCCUGACUCUCUCAUGAACUACAGACCAACCUAUGUCUAUCACAAGUUCUUUACACAGAUGGGUCAGAAGUAUCUCAGUCUCAAUGUACUAGAUGAACUCUCAUUUCACCUCUUCCUAAACAGCUCCCUGGGCAGUUUUCCCAUCUCAGUAAAUGUCAACUCUAUUCUUCUAGUUGUUCAGCAAUAUCCUUGAGGCCGUCUUUGACUGCCAUUUGCCUCUCAUGAACCCUACCCAGCUCACCAACAAAUUUGGAUCUUCAGAGCGUGCCUGGAUACUGACCACCUCUCUCUCCUCUGAUGUGAUUAAAGACAAGAGUCACCAUCACCUCUUCUUGUCUGUAUUACUGCAAUGGCUAUUUAACUGGUCCCCUGGUGUUCACCUGCUGUUCUAUAAACUAAUUGUGACACACCAAGAAGAGAAUAGUUUAAAUUUUAAUUGGCAAACAGUAAUUGCAUUUAUUUAUGGGGUUGAUACAAUCUCAUGGUAGAUACAUAUUCAUAUGUAUAUACAUAUGUGUAUAGGUAGGUAGAUAAAUGCAAAACUAUUGAAUCAAGAUAAUUAACAUAUCCAUAAGUAGAGGAUGCUUUAAAAAUGUUUAAUUCCUAUGGUUACAAUUCUCUAGAGUGUCUUCCUCAUCUAGCUCAGAAUAAAACCCCAUGUCCUUCUAGAGUCUUCCAUGCCCCACCACCAUCUCUCUGCUUGCUCUGCCUGUUCUUAUGCUCCACUUGGCCUCUUGAUCACAUGACCUCCUUCCUCAAUUGCUCUUUCUCAGGUAUACCUGGUGUGCCCACACUUCAACAUGUUUGUGCAAACUGUUUCUUGAACGUGAUUUUGCCCUGGUCUUCAGGUCUCUAUUUAAAUGCCACUUCAUUGAUGAUGCCUAAACAUAGCAGUAUUAGCCAGGCAAGGAGGAUGUAACUAUGAUCCCAGCUCUUGAGAGGCUGCAUCAGGAAGACUGUGACCUUGAGACGAGCUGGUGGUACUUAGUGAGUCCAGGCCAGUCUGAGCUAUGCAGUGAAACCCUGUCUCAACAAACAAAUAAAACUACCAGCAGCCUGUACCAUCUAGUAUUUGUUCCCUUCACCCACUUCCUUUUUCUCCAGACUUAAUCACAUUUGAUACACUGUAGGCUAUUUUUUUAAUUUAUGUAUUUAUUGCCUGGUAACCUCCAAUGGAGAGCCAUUUUCAAAAAGACAGAGUCCCUGAUUGGCUCACGUUGUAUUUCCAGAUCCUAAAUCUGUGUAUGACACACAGGAAACUCUCAGUAAAUGCCAGUUGAAAGACAAAUGGCAUCGAACCCGUAGGUGGCACUUAGUAAGUUCUUUCUCAAUGAAGGAUUGAAAAAUGUUAAAACAAUACUUGAUACACAAAGAAGAAGCAUGGGAUAAAUGAAUAAAUAGCAUUCAGAAAAGGUCACAUAGGAUGUCCUCAAUAGACACGUAAAUGAAAUGCUCAGAACAGUAACAGUACGUAGGAGACACCAGCACACUCUCACAUCUACUAUUCAUAUAUCAGAACUACCCUAAAGGAGUUUCCCUUCAACUCACAGAGCUGGCAGAGAAAAUGGAAAGGUAGACAAGCUGGAGUAGGGAGUAUUCCAGAAAAAUCCCCGAGACCCAGAAAGGCCCAGUUCAGGAAGGGGCAGACCAUGAAUAUAUAACAUUAAUGGUGUGUUUCUUGUAUGUCCGUUCUAAAGUUCCCAUGGUGACUCUGAAUGUGAACACCUGAUAACAUUUUUCCCUCAUUAAACUUGUCUUAAUGAGCCUCAAAAUUCUGCUGCAGAUUUUUGGUAAAAUUUUCAUUAAAAAUUAUUGAUUUAAUACCUUAAAAUUCUCUCUCUCUCUCUCUCUCUCUCUCUCUCUCUCUCUCUCUCACACACACACACACACACACACACACACACACACACAAAUAGUCCAUCAAGUAUCCUCCAUCUCUUCUGAAGGUUUUAUAGAUGCAUUGCUACCAUGAACCAGUCUGUUUGACUGAUGGUUCAGGAUCAUUCCUCCUCUACUGGUCAGACUAGGGUGGCAGGUCGUGGGGCUAAGAUUCAUUUAUGUUCGGGACUUCAGGAGCAGAAAGAUGACCUUGCUGACUCUAAUAGAUUUCUUGUCCACAACUUUGACAGCACCUGUGGCAACUGUGUAUCUGAUUUCAUGAACAGAAGAAUGACCCGGAGGAUAGCCAGAGAAGCUCAUGAGUCCAGCUAGCCUGGAGCCAUAUCAAUGAUGGCAUAAUCAUCAGAUUUCCAAAAUCUAGGGCCAGCUUCCAGCUUUACUUCCAGAUUCUUACCAGGAUGGCGAUGCAUCUCCUUUUUCAGCUCGUCAAGCUUGUGGGCUAUGUGAGCUGUGUGUGUGACAAUCCAGCACAGGGUCACAGCAGCACUGAUCUGGCUUGCAUUGUUCCAUAUAGUCACUGGAGCAGUGAAGCCAGAUGCUUCCAUUCAUAGAUCAUUUCUGCUGUCACCAGCAAUGCUGCCACAUAGAAUAUCUUUGGCAGAAGCAUUCUUGUGUUUUAUUUAAUAAAUGUUGUUCUUUGGCAAUUCUCUGUACAUAUGUAAUGCAUUCUCAUCACUCCCCACCCCCCAGCACAACACUCCCUCUAUUAUUCCCUCUAUCCCCUUCCCCUUCCAGCCUCUCUUCUUCUUCCUUAGUCUCUUUCCCACAUUCAUGACAUUUUGCUUUGUUUUGUGUUCCACAUAGUAUCAUUGGGGCCAUCUGUGUG